RNAcentral lists this long non-coding RNA (922 nucleotides) under Homo sapiens (human). RNAcentral's name for it is "long intergenic non-protein coding RNA 635". Lineage: Eukaryota; Metazoa; Chordata; Mammalia; Primates; Hominidae. The record is from RNAcentral.
AGCAUAGCAACAGCAGCGUAGCUGAACAUCUUACGGAUGGCCCAGGGCUCCAAAGGCUCGUUUCCUAAGUGAGAGAGAGCCUGGCUGAAGCUGUAUUACCAUUCAUUCUCCAGCCUCCGAAGUCUCAAAGCAUCACUUCCACCAUACUCUAACUGUCAAGACAAACACAAAGGCCCAGAGAAGGGGUCUCACUAUGUUGUCUGGAGUGCUGUGGUGGAGUGGAGUGGCUAUUCACAGAGCCUGUUCUGCUGGGACACAGAAUCACUUGCUCCAUCUCAUACAUUGAUGAUGAUUAAUUUGUAUGUGUACCUUCCAAAAAAGAUGGUUGUGUUUGAAUGGAGGCCUUCUGGACAGGAAAAUUGCAAAGUACAAUUAACAUUUGAGUCUGUCUGAGUCAUGAAGAAAUGGAGAUUACUGAAAAUAAUUCAUUUUGGUAUCUUCUUACAUCCUGAGAGACUAAUCUUUCCAAGUUCAUCUGAGGCUCCUCUUCUCCAUGACAACCUCAUCCAGGGAUUUCUUCCUGUCCUGGUGUUUUAUGACAUCAUCCUCAUCUCGCUUGUAAGGAUAAUAGCCUUCCUCCAAACCUCACACACUUUUGGAGGAGAUCACUUUUUUUAAAGUGCAUGGAAAUGUUUUGAAACAGUGAAAUCUAUAAUGAUAGGUUUCAUAAUUCUAACAUCCACACCAUAUGAAUCACAUCCUUCCUGAGAUAAUGAGCACACAAUUGCCUGGAUACCUGAAGGAAUGGAGACAGCGGCAGAAAACACUGCAGAGAGGUGGAAACAUCCGUUAAUAUUUUAAAAUCCCAUUACUGCUACCAACAAUAAUAAUGGAUGCAUAGAAAUAGAUCUGGAUUAGCUGAGCUUGAAACAGUCCAUCUCACACACACACAAAAGAAUUUCAGGUAAUGAAGAAAAGAAAA